GACGAACGCUGGCGGCGUGCUUAACACAUGCAAGUCGAACGGAAAGGCCCUGCUUUUGUUGGUUGCUCGAGUGGCGCACGGGUGAGUAACACGUGAGUAACCUCCCCUUGACUUUGGGAUAACUUCAGGAAACUGCGGCUAUUACCUGAUAGAAUCUCCUGCUGCAUGGUGGUGGUUGGAAAGUUUCGGCGGUUGUGGAUGGACUCGCGGCUUAUCAGCUUGUUUGUGUGGUAGUUACUUACCAAGGCUUUGACGGGUAGCCGGCCUGAGAGGGGUACCGGCGACAUGAGGACUAAGAGACGGAGCAGAAUCGUACGGGACGCAGAAGGGGGGAACAUGGCAGAAUGGGGGGAAGCGUGAUGCAGAAACGCCGGGAGCGGGAUGACGGCCUACGGGUGGAAAACAGAUGUCGAAUGAGAUGAAGAGGGAGUGACGGUAAUGGAUAAAGAAGCAACGGCUAACUACGUG
RNAcentral lists this ribosomal RNA (468 nucleotides) under uncultured bacterium. RNAcentral's name for it is "partial 16S ribosomal RNA". It matches the Rfam family "Bacterial small subunit ribosomal RNA", at positions 28 to 507 of the family's 1533-position model. The record is from RNAcentral.